GAUACACCUUGAGGGUAUGAGCCCAAUUAAGUGUAUCUAAUUUAGAAUAAAAUAUUAUUGGCAAUGCAGGUUGAUAUAGUACAUAGUUUUCAAUAAUUUAGAAUGGGGUCUUUCAGCGAUUUGAUCAUUAUGUUAUCGAAAAGCAUAAUACACGAAGGGUAAUGUUAUCCCAAUUUCAUUCAACGACAUCUCGGUGCAAAUCCUUAUUACAUCCUAAAAGCGAUAACACCUUCAUUCUCUAAAACAAGUUACAUUAAUAUUAAUGUCUGUGAAGUCAUAGAGAAAAUACCUUGUAUAGGUACAUUUAUAUCAAUUCCACAAAUUGAAUGACGAAAGUACACACAAAUGAGUGACAUAAUCGUCAUUUAAUGACAACAAUGUAUGCAGUCGUCUUAUAUCUUCAGUUUUUACCUCUACCUGACGUCACCUGGC
This 432-nucleotide long non-coding RNA is filed under the name Mytilus galloprovincialis (Mediterranean mussel). The record is from RNAcentral. Lineage: Eukaryota; Metazoa; Mollusca; Bivalvia; Mytilida; Mytilidae.